Molecule: ribosomal RNA, 613 nt
Filed under: uncultured bacterium
Lineage: Bacteria
Description: bacterial SSU rRNA
Rfam family: Bacterial small subunit ribosomal RNA
Source: RNAcentral
CCUACGGGAGGCAGCAGUGGGGAAUUUUGGACAAUGGGCGAAAGCCUGAUCCAGCAAUGCCGCGUGUGGGAAGAAGGCCUUCGGGUUGUAAACCACUUUUGUACGGAACGAAACGGUUCGCUUUAAUACAGUGGGCUAAUGACGGUACCGUAAGAAUAAGCACCGGCUAACUACGUGCCAGCAGCCGCGGUAAUACGUAGGGUGCGAGCGUUAAUCGGAAUUACUGGGCGUAAAGCGUGCGCAGGCGGUUAUAUAAGACAGUUGUGAAAUCCCCGGGCUCAACCUGGGAAUUGCAUCUGUGACUGUAUAGCUAGAGUACGGUAGAGGGGGAUGGAAUUCCGCGUGUAGCAGUGAAAUGCGUAGAUAUGCGGAGGAACACCGAUGGCGAAGGCAAUCCCCUGGACCUGUACUGACGCUCAUGCACGAAAGCGUGGGGAGCAAACAGGAUUAGAUACCCUGGUAGUCCACGCCCUAAACGAUGUCAACUGGUUGUUGGGUGCAUUAGUACUCAGUAACGAAGCUAACGCGUGAAGUUGACCGCCCGGGGAGUACGGCCGCAGGUUGAAACUCAAAGAAUUGAGCNGNGNGNGCGAGGACGACGACGAGGGAGAGG